GACGAACGCUGGCGGCGUGCUUAACACAUGCAAGUCGAACGGUGAACCUCUUCGGAGGGGAUCAGUGGCGAACGGGUGAGUAACACGUGGGCAACCUGCCCCCGGCUCUGGGAUAACUCCAAGAAAUCGGGGCUAAUACCGGAUGUUCACCGCUUCCCUCAUGGGUGGUGGUGGAAAGGGUUUCCGGCUGGGGAUGGGCCCGCGUCCUAUCAGCCUGUUGGUGGUGUAGUGGCCUACGAAGGCGACGACGGGUAGCCGGCCUGAGAGGGUGACCGGCCACACUGGGACUGAGACACGGCCCAGACUCCUACGGGAGGCAGCAGUGGGGAAUAUUGCGCAAUGGGCGGAAGCCUGACGCAGCGACGCCGCGUGGGGGAUGACGGCCUUCGGGUUGUAAACCUCUUUCAGCAGGGACGAAGCGCAAGUGACGGUACCUGCAGAAGAAGCACCGGCCAACUACGUG
RNAcentral lists this ribosomal RNA (463 nucleotides) under uncultured bacterium. RNAcentral describes it as "partial 16S ribosomal RNA". It matches the Rfam family "Bacterial small subunit ribosomal RNA", at positions 28 to 507 of the family's 1533-position model. The record is from RNAcentral.